GCCUGCGUGGCUCAGUGGUUAAGCAUCUGACUUUGGCUCAGAAUGUGAUCCUGGGGUCCUGGGAUCAACUCCCACAUCGGGCU
RNAcentral lists this transfer RNA (83 nucleotides) under Canis lupus familiaris (dog). It matches the Rfam family "tRNA". Rfam says of the family: Transfer RNA (tRNA) molecules are approximately 80 nucleotides in length. The record is from Rfam by way of RNAcentral. RNAcentral also lists the same sequence under 1 other name. Lineage: Eukaryota; Metazoa; Chordata; Mammalia; Carnivora; Canidae.